GCAUUUUUUUGUUGAACAAUCUCAGCAAGCUCCUCCAAGCACCAUCCUGAAAAGGCAUAGGUUUUUGAAAAAAUAAUUACCGAGCACCAUGAUUGUUGAAUUGCUUUGGAGAGUUCGGGGGCGAUCUCUUCGCCAGCCUCCAGCUUUGGAUCAUCCCUGAAGGUGACGAUCCCACUACUCUUUAGAGCAUCAUAAAGAUGAGCCGUGAAGUUCUUGCGAGUAUCUUCACCUCUAAAACUCAAGAAAACAUCAUAUUUCUUUCUUGAAAUGGGCGAAGAAGUCGAAGGUAACGACAACAUAAGGAUGUAUGAAAGGAGAAGGAUACCUCUAUCUGGUGUUCAAAAUGAGAAAAUAGAUCUCCCGAUCCUCGCAAAGAAAGUAGAAAAAGUAAGUAUAUGAGCAUAGGGGUGGAAAUUAGGGGGUCAAAGAUGAGUGAUGUAUGUUCUUUCCAAUAAGAAUCCAAGAAGGUGAGAGUUGGCAAAGUGGAGGCUGUUAAAAAUGUUGGACGGUUUGUAUUUUUCGUAUUUAAUAAUUAUAGAGUAGAUAAGAUUAUGACAAUAAUCAUUAGAAUAUAUCUUUAAUAAUUAUUCUUCGUUAUGGGCUGGUUUAAAAGUUGACCAAAUAACCAACUACUCGCAUGACACGUGGAAAACUUCUAUCUCGAAAGACAGAUCCAUUUCAGCUGCUUAAGAUUAUUUUUGGUUAGAGCCGACCCGAUUAAUGAACAAAUAAAUAAAAAUAAGAAAAAAAUUUAAAAUAUGAACACAACGUGGAAAAACUCUCUGAAAAUGAUAAAAAAUCACAGGUAAUGAUAAUUUUAUUAUAAUGGUAAAAGAAUGAAUGGUACAAAAGAUGAAGAUAAAAAUUAAACUCCGAAAACAAAGAACUCUCAAAACAUAAACACAAAAUUCUCUAAAAGUGUUAUGAAUUCUAAUCUCUAAUAGGUGUAUUUUCUAAUACUGUAAAAAAAUUCUAUUGAUAGGCUAAAUUCGUAUGUGAAAUAAUAAUAAAAUAAUCUAGACUAAUCAGAUUUUGAUUGAAACAAAUAAAUAGAGUUUAAUUGGAAGAUUAUUUAUCAAAUUUGACUGAAAUAUGAGUCAUACUCAACAAAUCUCCACAUUGACUGGUAUUUCCACAACGCCACCUUUGCUAAAGCCUACCAAGAGCCUAUCUUGACCUAUGUAGGGAAUUAAUUGAGUUGAAUUUGUGUUUAGAAGCUGGAAUGCUUCUAGACUUCAACUUGUGCAUUGUCAAAUCAAAACUAACCCGGAUCUGAUUUUCACAAACACAAUGCUCUAACUUUUUAAAAUCGACAUCUAAAAGAGAACCUCCGCUCCAAACGAGUUAACUUUGACUCCGUAAUAGAUGAGGGACGUCCGAUUUCACUAAUCACUGUAGAACCUUUAAAAAAAUAAAGACUGUCGGUCCUUUUACCUUUUAACAAACUGAGAGUCCCACAAGACACCUUAAUGUCGUUAGACUCGAUGUUGAUUCUGUAACUUUUCGAGUCUAAAUUACUUAAGCAGAUGAGAUUCUUUCGUAAAUCAGGUACAUACCUGACAUCUGAGAAUGCCCUAAUCGCCUCAUCGUGCAUCCUAAUUUUAUAGUAACAAUACCAAUUACCUUACCAGAUGAAUCAUUUCCCAUACGCUUAGCUCCACCUUCAACCGAACUGUAUGUGAAGAACCAUUCUCUAUUGGGACACAUGUGGAAAGAACAUCCCGAAUCUCGGAUCCACUUGGACAUAAGCUCAGAACUACCGCUUGUUAACACUAAUAAAAAAUCAUCACCGCUUUUGUCGGCCAAAUUAGCACAAGCUACACCUUCCUCAUUGCUCUCAAUAGCCUUUUUAAUUUGCAGUUUAUAACAAUCUGCUUUGACGUGACCUAACUUCUAACAAUAGCGAAAUCUUUUGUCUCGCUUCUUUCGCUUCUUUGAUGUUACCAAAAUAGAAGCUUGCCUAUUUUCCUUGCUAUCCAAACCAAACUCAUUGUUGAGUUUAUCUUUGCUUAACAAAUGACCCUUCACGUCCUCCAAUGAGAGAUUAUCUCUCCUAUAAGUCAUUGUUUCCCUGAAAGACUUGUAUAAAGGGAGUAAAGAGCACAAAGAUAAUAUAGUCUGCUCCUCAUCAUCAAUUUGAACCUCAACGUUAUUUAAAUCAUUUAAAAGAGUAAUGAAUUGACUGAUGUAAUCUCUAAGAAGCUCACAUUUGUUCAUGCGAAAUGUAAAUAGUUGUUGCUUUGGAGAGUUCGGGUGCGAUCUCUUCGCCAGCCUCCAGCUUUGGAUCAUCCCUGAAGGUGACGAUCCCACUACUCUAUAGAGCAUCAUAAAGAUGACCCGUGAAGUUCUUGCGAGUAUCUUCACCUCUAAAACUCAAGAAAACAUCAUAUUUCUUUCUAGAUAUGGGCGAAGAAGUCGAAGGUAACGACAGCAUGAGGAUGUAUGAAAGGAGAAGGAUAUCUGUAUCUGGUGUUCAAAAUCAGAAAAUAGAUCGCCCGAUCCUCGCAAAGUAUAUGGGCAUAGGGGCGGAAAUUAGGGGUCAAAGAUGAGUGAUGGAUG
This 2559-nucleotide long non-coding RNA is filed under the name Gossypium raimondii (Peruvian cotton). RNAcentral describes it as "long non-coding RNA (GRAI_LNC005955)". The record is from RNAcentral. Lineage: Eukaryota; Viridiplantae; Streptophyta; Magnoliopsida; Malvales; Malvaceae.